RNAcentral lists this ribosomal RNA (253 nucleotides) under uncultured bacterium. RNAcentral describes it as "partial 16S ribosomal RNA". It matches the Rfam family "Bacterial small subunit ribosomal RNA", at positions 524 to 776 of the family's 1533-position model. The record is from RNAcentral.
UACGGAGGAUGCAAGUGUUAUCCGGAAUCACUGGGCGUAAAGCGUCUGUAGGUGGUUUAAUAAGUCUACUGUUAAAUCUUGAGGCUCAACCUCAAAAUCGCAGUCGAAACUAUUAGGCUAGAGUAUAGUAGGGGUAAAGGGAAUUUCCAGUGGAGCGGUGAAAUGCGUAGAGAUUGGAAAGAACACCGAUGGCGAAGGCACUUUACUGGGCUAUUACUGACACUCAGAGACGAAAGCUAGGGUAGCAAAUGGG